This is a long non-coding RNA of Gymnodraco acuticeps, 1177 nucleotides long. RefSeq lists it as uncharacterized. The transcript has 3 exons. NCBI's taxonomy places the organism in Eukaryota, Metazoa, Chordata, Actinopteri, Perciformes, Bathydraconidae. The record is from RefSeq and is a predicted model, not a curated record.
CUGCUCUCUGUGGGGGGCCUGGCUGCUCUCUGUGGGGCCUGGAUGCCCUCUGUGGGGGGCUGGCUGUUCACUAACCCCUCACUGAUGGUGUUAUAAUGAACGCACUGCAGACACAAAGAAGUAUUAAAUAUAAACUAGAGAUGAACCCUGACCCCUGACCCCCCCCCCAGCAGGGAGAGGACCAGAGGCUUCAGGCUCCUUGGGAGUAUUAUGGUCUGUCCUAAUGAGCGCGUGAGCUCCAGCUGUUUGAAAGGAUCCACUUGCUGAGCUCUUUAGUCUUUAGUGAAGUUCUAAUGUUUCACCCUCUUUCACUUCAUCAUAUUAAAGGAUUAUUAAAAUAUUAAACAUGUUUUGGUUUUCAGAAGCGUGUGUGUUUGGGGGCGGAGUCUGAGUGUCCAAUGGAAACGUCGCUCACCUUCACAGCGUCCAAUCAGCAGCCAGAGCAGCAGGUGUGUGUGGUUCAGUCCAGGUCUGCUCUCUGCUGCCCCCGCUGCCUCGCAGGAGAACCGGGUCACAUCAAACACAUCCUGGGUCUGUGACGAGCCAACAGGAAGUCCCCUCCUCCCUCCCACAGCCGUCCAAUCAGAAUCCCCUCCUGCUGGAUGAUGUCAUCUGGCCCCCUGGAAGGACCAAUCAGCUGCUUGUGUCCGAUGUCUUCGCACGUUUCAUCUGAACGUCACGAGAAGCGGGAACGUUCCAAUAUUGGGAGUACUGCUCCUUUAAUGUCAAGCCCCGCCCCCUCUCCCAGCCAAUCACAGAGCUUCCAGCUGCAACCCUGCAGUCUGAUUGGCUCUCCUGACAGCUGUGGAAACUAAAGGUCACUCCAGAGCCUGAAGACCAAUGAGAGCAGCAGAGGUGUUUUAUUUUGAAAAUCCCCCCGCAUGCACUUCCUGUCCGUCUCUGCCCAGGUGGAAGUGAAAUCUGAUUCCACUUCCUGUUCCUCAGGAGACGCUCGUUAAGGACCUUAAAUAUUGAUUACUCUAAGAGUUAACACCCGGUGAAACCAGAGCGUUUCUGUCAGACAGGAAGCAGAUAAAGUUUAAUUGAAGAGUAACCGCUUCCUGUUUAUAUUUUUAUAUCCGUUUUAUAAAUCUGACUGAAUGUAAAGCAGUGACCAAUCACAGCGCAGCGUUUUGUACCGCAACUGAUUUCAAAAUAAAAGUCCCUGACUGAAAAA